This 501-nucleotide ribosomal RNA is filed under the name uncultured bacterium. RNAcentral's name for it is "partial 16S ribosomal RNA". It matches the Rfam family "Bacterial small subunit ribosomal RNA", at positions 29 to 523 of the family's 1533-position model. The record is from RNAcentral.
AUUGAACGCUGGCGGCAUGCCUUACACAUGCAAGUCGAACGGCAGCACGGGUGCUUGCACCUGGUGGCGAGUGGCGAACGGGUGAGUAAUAUAUCGGAACGUACCUUAUCGUGGGGGAUAACGCAGCGAAAGCUGUGCUAAUACCGCAUACGCCCUGGGGGGGAAAGCGGGGGAUCGAAAGACCUCGCGCGAUUAGAGCGGCCGAUGCCUGAUUAGCUUGUUGGUGGGGUAAAAGCCCACCAAGGCGACGAUCAGUAGCUGGUCUGAGAGGACGAUCAGCCACACUGGGACUGAGACACGGCCCAGACUCCUACGGGAGGCAGCAGUGGGGAAUUUUGGACAAUGGGGGCAACCCUGAUCCAGCAAUGCCGCGUGAGUGAAGAAGGCCUUCGGGUUGUAAAGCUCUUUUGUCAGGGAAGAAACACCGGCUCUAACACAGUCCGGGAAUGACGGUACCUGAAGAAUAAGCACCGGCUAACUACGUGCCAGCCGCCGCGGUAA